RNAcentral lists this non-coding RNA (28 nucleotides) under Mus musculus (house mouse). The record is from RNAcentral. Lineage: Eukaryota; Metazoa; Chordata; Mammalia; Rodentia; Muridae.
UGCAGUCCUGCUUUCUGGCCCUCUUUGC